AAUGAACGCUGGCGGCAUGCCUAACACAUGCAAGUCGAACGAACGCACAGUAAGAGCUCGCUCCUGCGGGUGGCGCGUGGCGGACGGGUGACGCAUGCAUAGGAUACCUCUAUUUCGUGGGUGAUAACGUGGGACAAUUUCUGCUAAUACAGCAUAUGUCGUACGGGUGAAAGCAGGAGUUCUUCGCACUUUUCGCGAUAGUAUGAGCCGAUGUCGGAUUAGCUAGUUGGCGAGGUAAAGGCACACCACGGCGACGAUACGUAGCUGGUCUGACAGGAUGAUCAGCCACACUGGAACUGAGACACGGUCCAGACUCCUACGGGAGGCAGCAGUAGGGAAUAUUGCGCAAUGGGCGCAAGCCUGAUCCAGCAAUACCGCGUGAGUGAUGAAGGCCUUCGGGUUGUAAAGCCCUGUUGUUGGGAAAGAAAAUAAGCAGGUUAAUACGCGGCCAUUCUGACGGUACCCAAAGAAUAAGCACCGGCUAACUUCGUG
This 492-nucleotide ribosomal RNA is filed under the name uncultured bacterium. RNAcentral's name for it is "partial 16S ribosomal RNA". It matches the Rfam family "Bacterial small subunit ribosomal RNA", at positions 29 to 507 of the family's 1533-position model. The record is from RNAcentral.